AAGCAACACAUUACAACAAAUGUGCAGAUUUCUACUAUUAAAAAUCCAAAAGGCAUAGAGAAUAAUAAAAGGUUUAUUUUCAAAUCAGCUCCCUGAUAAGACUGGCAUGGGAAAUAAUCAAGAAAGCUUAAUUACUGUAACUUGUCCAUUAUAGAAAAAUGCAGCAUCUUAUAUUUCCAUUGUUAUCAAACAUCUUGUUUUUUCAUUGUUAUCAAAGAAUGAGGAUAAAAACUUUUGGGAGAUAAUCAAAAAGUUUUAUGACUUAUGAGAUGGUUUUCUUUAGCAGGUGUGACCUCAAAUACUGUUUCUUCACUUUAUAAUUGGAAGUCUUUAAUUUAUUUGGUCAAUAAAUAUCUGAAUGCAUACUAUGAGCCAGAUGCUAAUUAUACCUUUAUGAACAAAGCAACAUAGUUCCUCCCCUGAUGAAAACUUAGUCUAAUGAGAGAGAUGUAUGCUUAAAAAUGUAAACAAAGAGACAACUAAUAAUUACAAUCCAUGGAAAGUGCUAUUAUAAAAACCAAUAGAAUCUUUGAUAACUAGGUGAUUCAGGGAGGUCUCAACAAUUAGGUGAUGCUGGAUGAGACUUGAAAGAUAAGAAGUUACCAGAAGGUCAAAUAUUGAGGGGAAGAAUGUCCUAGCAGUGGAAACACCAUGUGCAAAGGCCUAAGGUAGAAAUAACUGGGUUUGUGUGUGAAUCUGUGGUCCCCAUAAGCUAACCUUGAGAUGAGAGCUCAUGUGCAAGUGAUCUAUGAAGGAAAUUCUCCUAGCAAAUCUCAGUAUAGGAAUGCCAGGAGAGGAAAGGGAUGAGAAAAAGCCAAGAAAGGGUGCAAUUUCAGCCCCAGCUUCAGCCUCAUCCUGAUCUAGCUGUGGAGCCCUGGAGUAUAAAUUAUAGCUCGGAGCAAUUUCUACCUAAGGUUAUGGAGCUGGCUUUCAACCUCGUUCCACCAGCCAGUCAUUGUUUAAGAACCUGUCUGGGAGGAUACUAACUCCAAGUCUUUGGAUGUCCAGGAAAAUAACUCCAGUAGGUGACCAAAAGUAUUAUUCCCCAAAGAGCUGCAUGUAUGGGAGGUUAGAAGCACAAGCACACAGAAGCUAGAGGAGGGGUGCGGAGUAUGGUAAAAGGGACUUUAAAAAUCUCUGUGGAGCCCCAACAGUGUCCGCUACAGCUUGUUAGAGAGAAACCAAAAGGAGACUAGAGUGGCUCUGUCAUAGUAAGAGAGACAGAGAUGGGUCCAACCAGAGCAUGUAGAGAGAAAAAGACAGGUCCUGGAGGGUUUAAAAGGCUAUUGUAUAGAGUUGACAUUUUAUUCUACCAACAAAUGGAAACCAAUGCAGAAAAAUGACACAAACCGAUUCGUAUUCAGAAAAACAUCUUUAAUAAUUACACAGACACUUGAGGGAGACAAGUAAGGGAGCCAGGGUUAUUUUAUUUAUUUUUUGUAGUACUUUGUUAAUUUUUUUAAAAAUUAUUAUUUGUUCAGAUUUAUGGGGUACAUGUGGAAUUUUGUUACAUGUAUAUAAAAUGUGGUGAUCAAGUCAGGAUAUUUAAACGAGUCCAUUACUUGAAUACAAUACAUUUUUGUUAGCUAUAGUCACCCUGCUCUACUAUCUAACACUGAAUUUAUUCAUUCUAUCUAACUAUAUGCUUGCACUCUUUAACCCACUUCUCUUCAUCCUUCUCCCUUCUCCCUACUCAUUCUUCCCAGUCUCUGUUAUCUUUCUACUCUCUACCUCCAUGUGAUCAAAUUUUUUAGCUCUCACAUAUAAGUGAGAACAUGUCAAAUUUGUCUUUUUGUGCCUGGCUUAUUUAACUUAAAAUAAUGUCCUCCAGUUCCAUCCAUGUUGCUGCAAAUGACAUGGUUUUAUUCUUUUCUUAUGACUGAAUAGUAUCCCAAUGUGUAUAUAGGCCACAUUUUCUUUAUCCACUCAUUCACUGAUGGACACUUAGGUUGAUUCCAUAUCUUUACUAUUGUGAAUAGUGGGGAAAUAAACAUGUGAGAGUUUUUAGAGACACAAUAAUAAUAAUAACACCUAACAAUAAGAAAAUACCCUCUGACAAGAGAAAAAUAACUACCAAAAUAAGGUAAGUUGACCUUAACCCUAACCCUGAGAAAGUCAAACCUUCAUCAUUACUUCUAUGGUUUUCAGGAUACUAAAGAGCACAGAUCAAUUCUAUCCAUGUACAAAGUCCCAGUCAUCUGGUUAUUUAUAUACAUGUGAAUUUUAACAUGUGUAUUGAUCAUGAGCCAUGUGUCAAAGUUUAGGAGUACAAAAGAGAACAGAGUAUAACCUGUUUCCUCAAACAUGUACAUAACAGACAUGAACAUACCUAAUUUUGUAAAAAUUCAAGAAACAAGAUUGAAACAGUGUCUCUUAGAACACAUGGAAUCUUUUCUUUCUUCAGAACUCAGGCAGAAUUAUACCAAUAGUAUACAAUACAUAUUUUACAAUCAAUUUCACAACUGUGAAUUAAAAUACUCAUACACACAAUUGUUGUGUUUUCUCUAAGAAAAGAGAUAUACUAGGGACCCAAAGAUACGGGAGAUAGAGUCUAUGAAGUAAAAUAAUUCUUUGAUAUGAGAGGCAAAGGAGAUGGGGGUAUUGAAGAGGUCUCAUUUCCUGAAUGGGAUAGUUAUUUUUAUUGAUUAAGCUUGAGAAUUCACUGAAUGGACUUCUAGAAUGUUGGGAGAAAGAAAAUGCCCUGUUUUUUUGAAUAUAUUGAUUUUAAAAGGCAAUGUUUAUAAAGAUAAAGUAUAAAUGCCCUAAAGUUUGUUGAAUACACAGGGCUAAUUUCAGAAAAGAAAAGGCUGGAGAGAGAGAGAUUACUACGUCACCAGUGUAAAUAAUGUAAGUAAAGUUAUAAGCAAAGAUAAGAUAGGCUAGCAGGGGAAAGUAUGUAAGAGAAGAAAAGAGGGCUUAGAAAAGCAUACCAAUGUAUAGAGUUCAAAAUGAGAAGGCUAUAACAAUUGAGUAUAAGAUGGAAACAGGAAGAAAAGCAAAGGCAAUGUACUCAUGGGGACUACAUGAGGAAUAGUAUCUAGAUGUAACAGGUAGUUAUCAGGAUUAAAUAUUGUGGACAGGUUAGCUAAGAUUAAAAGCAAAACACACACACAUGCAAGUACACAGUUUAUAGCUAUAGAUUACUGGAAAAUAUGUUGAGAAAGUUUUGCAAAAAAAUGUUUAGAGGAAAGUAGAAUUUUGGUGUGUUUGAAAGUAUUAUAAAGAUAGGUUUCUCUGUAUUUUUUAAUAGAUAUUUUUAACAAGUUAGAUAUAUAUAU
Molecule: long non-coding RNA, 3278 nt
Filed under: Homo sapiens (human)
Lineage: Eukaryota; Metazoa; Chordata; Mammalia; Primates; Hominidae
Description: HSALNT0306376
Source: RNAcentral